RNAcentral lists this ribosomal RNA (509 nucleotides) under uncultured glomeraceous AM fungus. Its description in RNAcentral is "SSU rRNA". It matches the Rfam family "Eukaryotic small subunit ribosomal RNA", at positions 569 to 1078 of the family's 1831-position model. Lineage: Eukaryota; Fungi; Glomeromycota; Glomeromycetes; Glomerales; Glomeraceae. The record is from RNAcentral.
AGCAGCCGCGGUAAUUCCAGCUCCAAUAGCGUAUAUUAAAGUUGUUGCAGUUAAAAAGCUCGUAGUUGAAUUUCGGGAUCAAUGUUUCGGUCAUGCCCUUGGUAUGUACUGAUAUUAUUGGUUUCUCACCUUCUAAGGAACCGUAAUGCCAUUAAUUUGGUGUCACGGGGAAUUAGGUCUGUUACCUUGAAAAAAUUAGAGUGUUUAAAGCGGGCUCACGCUUGAAUACAUUAGCAUGGAAUAAUGAAAUAGGACAUCCGAUUCUAUUUUGUUGGUUUCUAGGAUCGAUGUAAUGAUUAAUAGGGAUAGUUGGGGGCAUUAGUAUUCAAUUGCCAGAGGUGAAAUUCUUGGAUUUAUUGAAGACUAACUACUGCGAAAGCAUUUGCCAAGGAUGUUUUCAUUAAUCAAGAACGAAAGUUAGGGGAUCGAAGACGAUCAGAUACCGUCGUAGUCUUAACCAUAAACUAUGCCGACUAGGGAUCGGAUGAUGUUAAUUUUUUAAUGACUCA